Molecule: ribosomal RNA, 397 nt
Filed under: uncultured bacterium
Lineage: Bacteria
Description: partial 16S ribosomal RNA
Rfam family: Bacterial small subunit ribosomal RNA
Source: RNAcentral
AUACGGAGGGGGCGAGCGUUGUCCGGAAUGAUUGGGCGUAAAGGGCGCGUAGGCGGCCCGGUAAGUCUGGAGUGAAAGUCUUGUUUUUAAGAUGGGAAUUGCUUUGGAUACUGUCGGGGUUGAGCGCAGGAGAGGGAAGUGGAAUUCCCAGUGUAGCGGUGAAAUGCGUAGAGAAUGGGAGGAACACCAGUGGCGAAGGCGACUUACUGGACUGUAACUGACGCUGAGGCGCGAAAGUGUGGGGAGCGAACAGGAUUAGAUACCCUGGUAGUCCACACUGUAAACGAUGAAUGCUAGGUGUAGGGGGUAUCGACCCCUUCUGUGCCGCAGUCAACACAAUAAGCAUUCCGCCUGGGGAGUACGGCCGCAAGGUUGAAACUCAAAUGAAUUGACGGGG